UACGUAGGUGGCAAGCGUUGUCCGGAUUUACUGGGCGUAAAGAGCGCGCAGGCGGUUGGGCAAGUCGCGUGUGAAAGCCCCCGGCUCAACUGGGGAGGGUCACGCGAUACUGUUCGACUUGAAGGCAGGAGAGGGAAGUGGAAUUCCCGGUGUAGUGGUGAAAUGCGUAGAUAUCGGGAGGAACACCAGUGGCGAAGGCGACUUCCUGGCCUGUUCUUGACGCUGAGGCGCGAAAGCUAGGGUAGCAAACGGG
This 253-nucleotide ribosomal RNA is filed under the name uncultured bacterium. Its description in RNAcentral is "partial 16S ribosomal RNA". It matches the Rfam family "Bacterial small subunit ribosomal RNA", at positions 524 to 776 of the family's 1533-position model. The record is from RNAcentral.